This 331-nucleotide ribosomal RNA is filed under the name uncultured bacterium. RNAcentral's name for it is "bacterial SSU rRNA". It matches the Rfam family "Bacterial small subunit ribosomal RNA", at positions 568 to 898 of the family's 1533-position model. The record is from RNAcentral.
CGUGUAGGCGGUUGUGUAAGUCAGACGUGAAAUCCUUUGGCUUAACUGAAGAACUGCGUCUGAAACUGCAUGACUAGAGUGCAGAAGAGGGAAACGGAAUUCCUGGUGUAGAGGUGAAAUUCGUAGAUAUCAGGAGGAACACCGGUGGCGAAGGCGGUUUCCUGGUCUGACACUGACGCUGAGGCGCGAAAGCGUGGGGAGCAAACAGGAUUAGAUACCCUGGUAGUCCACGCCGUAAACGGUGGGUACUGGGUGUGGGAGGUGUAAUGCCUUCUGUGCCGAAGCUAACGCGUUAAGUACCCCGCCUGGGGAGUACGGCCGCAAGGUUGAA